Molecule: ribosomal RNA, 484 nt
Filed under: uncultured bacterium
Lineage: Bacteria
Description: partial 16S ribosomal RNA
Rfam family: Bacterial small subunit ribosomal RNA
Source: RNAcentral
AUUGAACGCUGGCGGCAGGCCUAACACAUGCAAGUCGAGCGGAUGAAGGGUGCUUGCUCCUGGAUUCAGCGGCGGACGGGUGAGUAAUGCCUAGGAAUCUGCCUGGUAGUGGGGUAUAACGUCCGGAAACGGGCGCUAAUACCGCAUACGUCCUGAGGGAGAAAGUGGGGGAUCUUCGGACCUCACGCUAUCAGAUGAGCCUAGGUCGGAUUAGCUAGUUGGUGGGGUAAAGGCCUACCAAGGCGACGAUCCGUAACUGGUCUGAGAGGAUGAUCAGUCACACUGGAACUGAGACACGGUCCAGACUCCUACGGGAGGCAGCAGUGGGGAAUAUUGGACAAAGGGCGCAAGCCUGAUCCAGCCAUGCCGCGUGUGUGAAGAAGGUCUUCGGAUUGUAAAGCCCUUUAAGUUGGGAGGAAGGGCAGUAAGUUAAUACCUCGCUGUUUUGACGUUACCAAAAGAAUAAGCACCGGCUAACUUCGUG